ACCGGCUUCCGCCGCUUGCGACUGGCGUAGGUGAUGUUGGCGCUGCUGCUGUUCAUGGUGCCCAGCCGACGGCGGCGGCUACUCCCCGGGCACUGGCGGCCGGGUCCCCGGAACCCGGUGUAGGCUGGGACCACUGCGGCGGCCGGCGCCGGGUUCCGCGAAGCCGCGCCCGCUCCACCUGCGUCCUCUCGGGACAGUGGCGUGGGCGCCGCGCCUCAACGCCUCGGCUCACGCAGGCUUCCGCAGCCCGCGCCAGUACAGCUUGCAACACCAUGAAAAAAUUACUGAGACACUAGGAAUGCUGUGAACUGAGAAAGUUUGGGACCUUUGGCAUAACUAAAUCCUUCAUUUAACAGAUGGAGUCUCAGUCUGUCACUAAGGCUGGAGUGCAGUGGCGCGAUCUCGGCUCACUGCAACCUCCACCUCCCGGGUUCACGCGAUUCUCCAGCCUCAGCCUUCCACGUAGCUGGGACUACAGGUGCAUGCCACCACACCCAGUGUUGUGAACCACUUGUCAUGGGAUAACCAAAAUUAAACCUGGAAUCGCAGAAGAAACAAAUUUUUUGAAGAAAUUGGAUGUACUUUUUUAAAAUUUUUCAUUCAACUAAAACUUUGUUAACUGUUUCUUGGUUGUGGUCUUCUCUAAAUUGUAAUCUUUGGCAUUCACUUCCAAAGUAUCCACCACUAAACUUCAUAACAUUUAUUGUGUCUCUUCAUCAUUAAACUUUGAUGAAUUUACAGAGUGUCUUUUGAAAUUAUGUUCUUGAGAAAGCCAGGGGAUUGGACGGUGUCAUGGAAAUGUCAAAGAAAAAGUGACACCUGAGAGAAAAUUUGAAAGAUGAAAGGUGCACAUCAUGGAGACAAUCUGACUGGUACAGAGAAAUGAAGAGACAACAUUUUCUUUCCAAAUCUGAGUGGAGAUACUCAGAGUUUCUUCUCAAAUGUACACUGAUAAAUACUCAACUGAAGAUUCAACUGAAAUCCUCUAUGGGUCUCCAGACUCCCCCAUUCUGGAACUCUUCCCUGCAAAUUCCAGCUGCCUAAACUCCCUUCCAUCUCUCAGUUUCUCUAUAACUGAGGAACACCGUCAGGCUCCAGCUGGAUUUUCCUUCCUUGUGCACUGAUCUGGAAAGUCUUUCACAUCAGUAAGUGAGGGAAAUCAUAGAGUUCUCCUGGAUAGAAGAGGCCCUGGUUAGCAGCUUCAGAUGAUGGAUACAUAAAAAUGGGAGAGAGAAAACAUAUAAGAGUGACUAAUUGUUGAGUUUCCAGGGCUCAAACCAAUCUUGAAUUGGAAUUUCAAGACAUAAAAACCACUGCAGGAACCUGCUGGAGAAACGGCCUCUGUCAUCUCAUGAUCAGAUAUGUUGCCAUUUAUAGGAUGUUUGUAUUCCUGCUUUUCUCCAAUAUACUAAAUAUUGUUGUGGGAUCACAUGAUCAAAUGAAGAUUAUGACAGAAGAAUCUAACUGUAUUACAAAUGUGUGAAACAGCCUUGUUGAAAGGAGUCGGGGUAAAGUGCUGACCUAAUUAACCUUGGAAAUAAGAUGUGCAAGAAUAAGGUUAACAGACCUCAACGCAAGCACUGUGCUGUAGUUGAUAAAGCUGUACAUAGUGGCUUCCUUUUAAAGAGUAUAACGUGGAAAGAUUGAAAAAGAGUAACUUUACAGUGGAGAAAAUGGACAACGAUGUUGCAGCCAGGCAAUCCACGGUAAUAUCAGCAGUGACAAGGUAUGCUGACAGGAUGCACUCUCCUUGGUAUUUAAGGAAAGAUUGUUAUCCACCCAAAAGCCCAUAACCCCCUUUUAACCACAAGGUUAAACAUCAGGCCACUUCACUAGAUGCACGUUCUCAGCUUGUGCCCAUCUCAAGUACCAUCACUGUGGUCUCGCCUGGUACUCUUUUUGUUUUUUUUUCCCACAGUGGCCAGACAGGCCCUUUUCCGAUUCUCCAUACACACUUGAGAGUGGAUUGUAAUGUUGAACAAGGAAGAGAGAUAGGAAAAAAAAAAAAAAAAACUAUGCAGCCUAGAACAUUGCUUCUAAACAUGUCCAUGCUCACAGAUCUGCCGGGGUCAGACUCCUCAUAGAUGCAGCUCACCUGACUUCUCAGGAAGCCCUCAGAUGAGUUUCACUAGUGAUGGGGCAAAUUGAAACUGCUACAUAUUGAGAAUGGGAACUGGCUCAGAGAGUGUGGAUUUCUCUCUUGAAGUCUGGUUUUCACUCUG
Molecule: long non-coding RNA, 2222 nt
Organism: Homo sapiens (human)
Lineage: Eukaryota; Metazoa; Chordata; Mammalia; Primates; Hominidae
Exons: 12
Source: RefSeq, a predicted model, not a curated record